Molecule: ribosomal RNA, 497 nt
Filed under: uncultured bacterium
Lineage: Bacteria
Description: partial 16S ribosomal RNA
Rfam family: Bacterial small subunit ribosomal RNA
Source: RNAcentral
GAUGAACGCUGGCGGCGUGCCUAAUACAUGCAAGUCGAGCGAACAGACGAGGAGCUUACUCCUCUGACGUUAGCGGCGGACGGGUGAGUAACGCGUGGAUAACCUACCUAUAAGACUGGGAUAACUUCGGGAAACCGGAGCUAAUACCGGAUAACAUGUUGAACCGCAUGGUUCAACAGUGAAAGACGGUCUUGCUGUAACUUAUAGAUGGAUCCGCGUCGCAUUAGCUAGUUGGUAAGGUAACGGCUUACCAAGGCAACGAUGCGUAGCCGACCUGAGAGGGUGAUCGGCCACACUGGAACUGAGACACGGUCCAGACUCCUACGGGAGGCAGCAGUAGGGAAUCUUCCGCAAUGGGCGAAAGCCUGACGGAGCAACGCCGCGUGAGUGAAGAAGGUCUUCGGAUCGUAAAACUCUGUUAUUAGGGAAGAACAAAUGUGUAAGUAACUAUGCACGUCUUGACGGUAACUAAUCAGAAAGGCACGGCUAACUACGUG